GUUGUUCAUCACAGGUACAGGCUAUGGUAGCUAGCUGGUUGUUCAUCACAGGUACAGGCUAUGGUAGCUAGCUGGUUGUUCAUCACAGGUACAGGCUAUGGUAGCUAGCUGGUUGUUCAUCACAGGUACAGGCUAUGGUAGCUAGCUGGUUGUUCAUCACAGGUACAGGCUAUGGUAGCUAGCUGGUUGUUCAUCACAGGUACAGGCUAUGGUAGCUAGCUGGUUGUUCAUCACAGGUACAGGCUAUGGUAGCUAGCUGGUUGUUCAUCACAGGUACAGGCUAUGGUAGCUAGCUGGUUGUUCAUCACAGGUACAGGCUAUGGUAGCUAGCUGGUUGUUCAUCACAGGUACAGGCUAUGGUAGCUAGCUGGUUGUUCAUCACAGGUACAGGCUAUGGUAGCUAGCUGGUUGUUCAUCACAGGUACAGGCUAUGGUAGCUAGCUGGUUGUUCAUCACAGGUACAGGCUAUGGUAGCUAGCUGGUUGUUCAUCACAGGUACAGGCUAUGGUAGCUAGCUGGUUGUUCAUCACAGGUACAGGCUAUGGUAGCUAGCUGUUUCAUCUCAUGUCU
Oncorhynchus keta (chum salmon) is the source of this 570-nucleotide long non-coding RNA. RefSeq lists it as uncharacterized. The record is from RefSeq and is a predicted model, not a curated record. The transcript is spliced from 4 exons. NCBI's taxonomy places the organism in Eukaryota, Metazoa, Chordata, Actinopteri, Salmoniformes, Salmonidae.